RNAcentral lists this ribosomal RNA (397 nucleotides) under uncultured Neocallimastigomycetes. RNAcentral describes it as "eukaryotic LSU rRNA". It matches the Rfam family "Eukaryotic large subunit ribosomal RNA", at positions 127 to 520 of the family's 3401-position model. Lineage: Eukaryota; Fungi; Neocallimastigomycota; Neocallimastigomycetes. The record is from RNAcentral.
GUUCUACCUUGACGAAUUGUAGUUUAAAGAAGUGUUUUCUGUUGGAGUUUUGGUAAAAGUUCUUUGGAAUAGGACAUCAUAGAGGGUGAGAAUCCCGUAUUUGACCAUUAUUUCCAACUUUGUGAUACACUUUCAAAGAGUCGGAUUGUUUGGGAAUGCAGUCCAAAAUGGGUGGUAAAUUUCAUCUAAAGCUAAAUACUGGCGAGGGACCGAUAGCGAACAAGUACCGUGAGGGAAAGAUGAAAAGAACUUUGAAAAGAGAGUUAAACAGUACGUGAAAUUGUCAAAAGGGAAGCGUUUGACACCAGUGUUGUUUUCUCGAAAAUCAAUUAAAAAUGGCGGGAUUUUGUGUUGUAUUGACUUUAUCAGCUUUCUGCACUUUUUUCCUGUCUUUUUU